This 253-nucleotide ribosomal RNA is filed under the name uncultured bacterium. RNAcentral describes it as "partial 16S ribosomal RNA". It matches the Rfam family "Bacterial small subunit ribosomal RNA", at positions 524 to 776 of the family's 1533-position model. The record is from RNAcentral.
UACGGAGGGUGCAAGCGUUAAUCGGAAUUAUUGGGCGUAAAGCGCACGCAGGCGGUAAAUUUAGUCAGUUGUGAAAUCCCGCGGCUUAACGCGGGAAUUGCAUUUGAUACUGUUUAGCUAGAGUAUCGUAGGGGGAGGUGGAAUUCCAUGUGUAGCGGUGAAAUGCGUAGAUAUGUGGAAGAAUACCGGUGGCGAAGGCGGCUUCCUAGGCGAUGACUGACGCUCAGGUGCGAAAGCGUGGGGAGCGAACAGG